AAAAAGUUUUAUUUUGAUUUAAAAAUUAAAUUAAAUUUGUUAUUUACAUGUAAAAUUUUAUGUGAUAUUUGUAUUAAUUUUAAUAGUUAAUAUUUUUUAUAGUAUUUGCAGUAAAUAGUAUUAAAUAUUAAUGAAAGUUAGAUUUAGGGAAAAUUUUAAGUAUUAACAAAUUUUGUGCCAGCAGUUGCGGUUAUACAAAAAAUGCGAUUUAAUUUUUGUUUAGCAUUAAUAUAUUUUUAAUUAUUAAGUUGAAUUUAGAAGUUAUUAGGUGAAAUUAUUAAUUUUUAGUUAAAUUUUUGGUAUUAUGAUUAAUUAAUAAAUUUUUUAAUAAACUAGGAUUAGAUACCCUAUUAUUUUAAAUGUAAAAUUAAGCUAGAUUAGUAGUAGUUAUAUUCUUGAAAAUUAAAAAAUUUGGCGGUUUUUUAGUCUAUUCAGAGGAACCUGUCCUGUAAUCGAUAAUCCACGAUUUUAUAUACUUUUUUUAUUAGUUUGUAUAUCGUCGUAGUUUGAAUUUUUUUUAAGAAUUUUAAUAUUCAAUAUUUAUUUUUUAAUAUAAAUCAGAUCAAGGUAUAGCUUAUAGGAAAGAAGAGAUGGGUUACAUUAAUUUUAAUUAGAGAUUUUAAAUUGUAAAUUUUGAUGAAUUUGGAUUUGAAAGUAAUUUUAUUUAGAUUUUUAAAAUGAUUUUAGCUCUAAAAUAUGUACAUAUCGCCCGUCGCUUUCACCUUAAAGUGAAAUAAGUCGUAACAGAGUAGGUUUACUGGAAAGUGUACCUAGAAAGGU
This 780-nucleotide non-coding RNA is filed under the name Batocera rubus. The record is from RNAcentral. Lineage: Eukaryota; Metazoa; Arthropoda; Insecta; Coleoptera; Cerambycidae.